Molecule: long non-coding RNA, 384 nt
Organism: Cicer arietinum (chickpea)
Lineage: Eukaryota; Viridiplantae; Streptophyta; Magnoliopsida; Fabales; Fabaceae
Source: RefSeq, a predicted model, not a curated record
ACUAAGGAUGAAUGAUUCCAGCUUCUCAAACCGAUGCUUCUUUACAAAGGCCAUUUCUAUAUGGACUUCAACUGGAGAUGCUGAUCACGUUAUGAUUGUUGGGUCGUAUUUUCAUUAUGCUGGAGGAUUUGAACCUCCUCAGGCUGUGGAUAUAUCUCCAAAUCCCGGACGCUCUGAUCCCAUGUAUAUCGUUUACUCUAGGAAGCUCUCUACCACUUAAGAGAAAUAUGAACUGAGAAUUUGUAGCAGUGUAUUUACCUAUCAACAGUUACUUUGAUGAAGAAUUUGUUCAUGUUGUACGUCAAUGAAUUUGUUCAUGUUGUACGUCAAAGAUCGCAUAAUAGUAAUAAAUUAAAAAAAUCACUACAAUUUGAACAUGGAUAA